GACGAACGCUGGCGGCGUGCCUAAUACAUGCAAGUAGAACGCACAGUUUAUACCGUAGCUUGCUACACCAUAAACUGUGAGUUGCGAACGGGUGAGUAACGCGUAGGUAACCUGCCUGGUAGCGGGGGAUAACUAUUGGAAACGAUAGCUAAUACCGCAUAUUAUUGAUUAUUGCAUGAUAAUUGAUUGAAAGAUGCUAUUGCAUCACUACCAGAUGGACCUGCGUUGUAUUAGCUAGUAGGUGAGGUAACGGCUCACCUAGGCGGCGAUACAUAGCCGACCUGAGAGGGUGAUCGGCCACACUGGGACUGAGACACGGCCCAGACUCCUACGGGAGGCAGCAGUAGGGAAUCUUCGGCAAUGGACGAAAGUCUGACCGAGCAACGCCGCGUGAGUGAAGAAGGUUUUCGGAUCGUAAAGCUCUGUUGUAAGAGAAGAACGGGUGUGAGAGUGGAAAGUUCACACUGUGACGGUAUCUUACCAGAAAGGGACGGCUAACUACGUG
RNAcentral lists this ribosomal RNA (505 nucleotides) under uncultured bacterium. Its description in RNAcentral is "partial 16S ribosomal RNA". It matches the Rfam family "Bacterial small subunit ribosomal RNA", at positions 28 to 507 of the family's 1533-position model. The record is from RNAcentral.